Molecule: long non-coding RNA, 220 nt
Filed under: Elaeis guineensis (African oil palm)
Lineage: Eukaryota; Viridiplantae; Streptophyta; Magnoliopsida; Arecales; Arecaceae
Description: long non-coding RNA (EGUI_LNC073070)
Source: RNAcentral
AGGAGGAGCUUCUUCAAAUUUAUUCGAAGGAGAUAGUUGUUGAAAUCCUUGAUGCGAUACUCAGGGCCUUCCACAUUGAUGGCCUCAACAUCGACUGGGAGGAUUGCAGUCGGAAGGACUUCACAGGCAACUUGGUUGUUUGCAAGGCCCAACCUGUAAUCUUGGGCUCCUUGCCCAAGAUGAGCAGAAGACUUUUGUGAGGCCAAAGCAAGAGGGUCGG